GCCUGGAUGGCUCAGUCGGUAAAGUGUCUGACUUCAGCUCAGGUCAUGAUCUCAUGGUUUGUGAGUUCGAGCCCCACGUUGGGCU
RNAcentral lists this transfer RNA (85 nucleotides) under Felis catus (domestic cat). It matches the Rfam family "tRNA". Rfam says of the family: Transfer RNA (tRNA) molecules are approximately 80 nucleotides in length. Their secondary structure includes four short double-helical elements and three loops (D, anti-codon, and T loops). Lineage: Eukaryota; Metazoa; Chordata; Mammalia; Carnivora; Felidae. The record is from Rfam by way of RNAcentral.